UACAGAGGGGGCUAGCGUUGUUCGGAAUUACUGGGCGUAAAGGGCGCGUAGGCGGCCCUCUAAGUCGAACGUGAAAUCCCCGGGCUCAACCCGGGAACUGCGUCCGAUACUGGAUGGCUUGAAUCCGGGAGAGGGAUGUGGAAUUCCAGGUGUAGCGGUGAAAUGCGUAGAUAUCUGGAGGAACAUCGGUGGCGAAGGCGGCAUCCUGGACCGGUAUUGACGCUGAGGCGCGAAAGCCAGGGGAGCAAGCGGG
Molecule: ribosomal RNA, 253 nt
Filed under: uncultured bacterium
Lineage: Bacteria
Description: partial 16S ribosomal RNA
Rfam family: Bacterial small subunit ribosomal RNA
Source: RNAcentral